Molecule: ribosomal RNA, 468 nt
Filed under: uncultured bacterium
Lineage: Bacteria
Description: partial 16S ribosomal RNA
Rfam family: Bacterial small subunit ribosomal RNA
Source: RNAcentral
GACGAACGCUGGCGGCGUGCUUAACACAUGCCAGUCGAACGGAAAGGCCCUGCUUUUGUGGGGUGCUCGAGUGGCGAACGGGUGAGUAACACGUGAGUAACCUGCCCUUGACUUUGGGAUAACUUCAGGAAACUGGGGCUAAUACCGGAUAGGAGCUCCUGCUGCAUGGUGGGGGUUGGAAAGUUUCGGCGGUUGGGGAUGGACUCGCGGCUUAUCAGCUUGUUGGUGGGGUAGUGGCUUACCAAGGCUCUGACGGGUAGCCGGCCUGAGAGGGUGACCGGCCACAUUGGGACUGAGAUACGGCCCAGACUCCUACGGGAGGCAGCAGUGGGGAAUAUUGCACAAUGGGCGGAAGCCUGAUGCAGCAACGCCGCGUGCGGGAUGACGGCCUUCGGGUUGUAAACCGCUUUCGCCUGUGACGAAGCGUGAGUGACGGUAAUGGGUAAAGAAGCACCGGCUAACUACGUG